UAGGGAAUUUUGCGCAAUGGGGGAAACCCUGACGCAGCAACGCCAUGUGUGGGAUGAAGCAUUUCGGUGUGUAAACCACUGUCGGCAGGGAAUAAAGCCCGCGCUUGCGCGGGGGUGAAUGUACCUGCAGAGGAAGCCCCGGCUAACUUCGUGCCAGCAGCCGCGGUAAUACGAGGGGGGCAAGUGUUGUUCGGAAUCACUGGGCGUAAAGGGAGCGUAGGCGGAAGCUUAAGUCGGGAGUUUAAAACCGGGGCCCAACCCCGGGGCGGCUCCCGAAACUGGGUUUCUUGAAUGGGACAGAGGCUGGUGGAAUUGGGGGUGUAGCGGUGGAAUGCGUAGAGAUCCCCAAGAACACCGAUUGCGAAGGCAGCCAGCUGGGUCCACAUUGACGCUGAGGCUC
RNAcentral lists this ribosomal RNA (400 nucleotides) under uncultured bacterium. RNAcentral describes it as "bacterial SSU rRNA". It matches the Rfam family "Bacterial small subunit ribosomal RNA", at positions 355 to 754 of the family's 1533-position model. The record is from RNAcentral.